This 1498-nucleotide ribosomal RNA is filed under the name Limosilactobacillus reuteri. RNAcentral describes it as "partial 16S ribosomal RNA". It matches the Rfam family "Bacterial small subunit ribosomal RNA". Lineage: Bacteria; Bacillati; Bacillota; Bacilli; Lactobacillales; Lactobacillaceae. The record is from RNAcentral.
GAUGAACGCCGGCGGUGUGCCUAAUACAUGCAAGUCGUACGCACUGGCCCAACUGAUUGAUGGUGCUUGCACCUGAUUGACGAUGGAUCACCAGUGAGUGGCGGACGGGUGAGUAACACGUAGGUAACCUGCCCCGGAGCGGGGGAUAACAUUUGGAAACAGAUGCUAAUACCGCAUAACAACAAAAGCCACAUGGCUUUUGUUUGAAAGAUGGCCUUGGCUAUCACUCUGGGAUGGACCUGCGGUGCAUUAGCUAGUUGGUAAGGUAACGGCUUACCAAGGCGAUGAUGCAUAGCCGAGUUGAGAGACUGAUCGGCCACAAUGGAACUGAGACACGGUCCAUACUCCUACGGGAGGCAGCAGUAGGGAAUCUUCCACAAUGGGCGCAAGCCUGAUGGAGCAACACCGCGUGGGUGAAGAAGGGUUUCGGCUCGUAAAGCUCUGUUGUUGGAGAAGAACGUGCGUGAAAGUAACUGUUCACGCAGUGACGGUAUCCAACCAGAAAGUCACGGCUAACUACGUGCCAGCAGCCGCGGUAAUACGUAGGUGGCAAGCGUUAUCCGGAUUUAUUGGGCGUAAAGCGAGCGCAGGCGGUUGCUUAGGUCUGAUGUGAAAGCCUUCGGCUUAACCGAAGAAGUGCAUCGGAAACCGGGCGACUUGAGUGCAGAAGAGGACAGUGGAACUCCAUGUGUAGCGGUGGAAUGCGUAGAUAUAUGGAAGAACACCAGUGGCGAAGGCGGCUGUCUGGUCUGCAACUGACGCUGAGGCUCGAAAGCAUGGGUAGCGAACAGGAUUAGAUACCCUGGUAGUCCAUGCCGUAAACGAUGAGUGCUAGGUGUUGGAGGGUUUCCGCCCUUCAGUGCCGGAGCUAACGCAUUAAGCACUCCGCCUGGGGAGUACGACCGCAAGGUUGAAACUCAAAGGAAUUGACGGGGGCCCGCACAAGCGGUGGAGCAUGUGGUUUAAUUCGAAGCUACGCGAAGGACCUUACCAGGUCUUGACAUCUUGCGCUAACCUUAGAGAUAAGGCGUUCCCUUCGGGGACGCAAUGACAGGUGGUGCAUGGUCGUCGUCAGCUCGUGUCGUGAGAUGUUGGGUUAAGUCCCGCAACGAGCGCAACCCUUGUUACUAGUUGCCAGCAUUAAGUUGGGCACUCUAGUGAGACUGCCGGUGACAAACCGGAGGAAGGUGGGGACGACGUCAGAUCAUCAUGCCCCUUAUGACCUGGGCUACACACGUGCUACAAUGGACGGUACAACGAGUCGCAAGCUCGCGAGAGUAAGCUAAUCUCUUAAAGCCGUUCUCAGUUCGGACUGUAGGCUGCAACUCGCCUACACGAAGUCGGAAUCGCUAGUAAUCGCGGAUCAGCAUGCCGCGGUGAAUACGUUCCCGGGCCUUGUACACACCGCCCGUCACACCAUGGGAGUUUGUAACGCCCAAAGUCGGUGGCCUAACCUUUAUGGAGGGAGCCGCCUAAGGCGGGACAGAUGACUGGGGUG